GAUGAACGCUGGCGGCGUGCCUAAUACAUGCAAGUCGAGCGAACGGACGAGAAGCUUGCUUUUCUGAUGUUAGCGGCGGACGGGUGAGUAACACGUGGAUAACCUACCUAUAAGACUGGGAUAACUUCGGGAAACCGGAGCUAAUACCGGAUAAUAUUUUGAACCGCAUGGUUCAAAAGUGAAAGACGGUUUUGCUGUCACUUAUAGAUGGAUCCGCGCUGCAUUAGCUAGUUGGUAAGGUAACGGCUUACCAAGGCAACGAUGCAUAGCCGACCUGAGAGGGUGAUCGGCCACACUGGAACUGAGACACGGUCCAGACUCCUACGGGAGGCAGCAGUAGGGAAUCUUCCGCAAUGGGCGAAAGCCUGACGGAGCAACGCCGCGUGAGUGAUGAAGGUCUUCGGAUCGUAAAACUCUGUUAUUAGGGAAGAACAUAAGUGUAAGUAACUGUGCACGUCUUGACGGUACCUAAUCAGAAAGCCACGGCUAACUACGUG
RNAcentral lists this ribosomal RNA (497 nucleotides) under uncultured bacterium. RNAcentral describes it as "partial 16S ribosomal RNA". It matches the Rfam family "Bacterial small subunit ribosomal RNA", at positions 28 to 507 of the family's 1533-position model. The record is from RNAcentral.